GAUGAACGCUGGCGGCGUGCCUAAUACAUGCAAGUCGAGCGAACAGACGAGGAGCUUGCUCCUCUGACGUUAGCGGCGGACGGGUGAGUAACACGUGGAUAACCUACCUAUAAGACUGGGAUAACUUCGGGAAACCGGAGCUAAUACCGGAUAAUAUAUUGAACCGCAUGGUUCAAUAGUGAAAGACGGUUUUGCUGUCACUUAUAGAUGGAUCCGCGCCGCAUUAGCUAGUUGGUAAGGUAACGGCUUACCAAGGCGACGAUGCGUAGCCGACCUGAGAGGGUGAUCAGCCACACUGGAACUGAGACACGGUCCAGACUCCUACGGGAGGCAGCAGUAGGGAGUCUUCCGCAAUGGGCGAAAGCCUGACGGAGCAACGCCGCGUGAGUGAUGAAGGUCUUCGGAUCGUAAAACUCUGUUAUUAGGGAAGAACAAAUGUGUAAGUAACUAUGCACGUCUUGACGGUACCUAAUCAGAAAGCCACGGCUAACUACGUG
RNAcentral lists this ribosomal RNA (497 nucleotides) under uncultured bacterium. RNAcentral describes it as "partial 16S ribosomal RNA". It matches the Rfam family "Bacterial small subunit ribosomal RNA", at positions 28 to 507 of the family's 1533-position model. The record is from RNAcentral.